UGAGUUGGUCAGGCAAUCGCUGGUUUAUUGAAGCCCUCAAAUUCGCACAGCGUAAACUAGGGGACAAGUAAACGAGAGGAAAGUCCGAGCUACACAGGGCAGAGUGCCAGAUAACGUCUGGGGGGCGUGAGCCUACGACCAGUGCAACAGAGAGCAGACCGCCAGUGUCAAACUGGUAAGGGUGAAAGGGUGUGGUAAGAGCACACCGCGUGGCUGGCAACAGUUCACGGCAGGGUAAACUCCACUCGUAGCAAGACCAAAUAGGAAUCCAAUGGGUGGCCCGCUCAGGAUUCGGGUAGGUUGCUUGAACGUGCGUGCGAACGUACGUCUAGAUGAAUGAUUGUCCGCGACAGAACUCGGCUUAUCGACCAACUCAACUU
Molecule: RNase P RNA, 380 nt
Filed under: Pasteurellaceae bacterium
Lineage: Bacteria; Pseudomonadati; Pseudomonadota; Gammaproteobacteria; Pasteurellales; Pasteurellaceae
Description: RNase P RNA component class A
Rfam family: Bacterial RNase P class A
About the family: Ribonuclease P (RNase P) is a ubiquitous endoribonuclease, found in archaea, bacteria and eukarya as well as chloroplasts and mitochondria. Its best characterised activity is the generation of mature 5'-ends of tRNAs by cleaving the 5'-leader elements of precursor-tRNAs.
Source: RNAcentral